This 448-nucleotide ribosomal RNA is filed under the name uncultured bacterium. RNAcentral describes it as "SSU rRNA". It matches the Rfam family "Bacterial small subunit ribosomal RNA", at positions 26 to 518 of the family's 1533-position model. The record is from RNAcentral.
AGAGCGAACGCUGGCGGCAGGCCUAACACAUGCAAGUCGAGCGCCCGUAGCAAUACGGGAGCGGCAGACGGGAUAGUAACACGUGGGAACGCGCCCUUCGGUUCGGAAUAACUCAGGGAAACUUGAGCUAAUACCGGAUACGCCCUUACGGGGAAAGAUUUAUUGCCGAAGGAACGGCCCGCGUCCGAUUAGCUAGUUGGUGAGGUAAUGGCUCACCAAGGCGACGAUCGAUAGCUGGUCUGAGAGGAUGAUCAGCCACAUUGGGACUGAGACACGGCCCAAACUCCUACGGGAGGCAGCAGUGGGGAAUAUUGGACAAUGGGCGCAAGCCUGAUCCAGCCAUGCCGCGUGAGUGAUGACGGCCUUAGGGUUGUAAAGCUCUUUCGCUAGGGACGAUAAUGACGGUACCUAGACAAGAAGCCCCGGCUAACUUCGUGCCAGCAGCCGC